This 327-nucleotide ribosomal RNA is filed under the name uncultured eukaryote. RNAcentral's name for it is "partial 18S ribosomal RNA". It matches the Rfam family "Eukaryotic small subunit ribosomal RNA", at positions 1470 to 1796 of the family's 1831-position model. The record is from RNAcentral.
CCCUUAGAUGUUCUGGGCCGCACGCGCGCUACACUGACGAAUGCAACGAGCUUAUAACCUUGGCCGAAAGGUCUGGGUAAUCUCCAAAUUUCGUCGUGAUGGGGAUAGAUUAUUGCAAUUAUUAAUCUUCAACGAGGAAUGCCUAGUAAGCGCAAGUCAUCAGCUUGCGUUGAUUAAGUCCCUGCCCUUUGUACACACCGCCCGUCGCUCCUACCGAUUGAAUGGUCCGGUGAAGCGUUCGGACCGUGGCCUUUGGACGGUUCGCCGUCUGUUGGCUGCGGGAAGUUCGUUAAACCUUAUCAUUUAGAGGAAGGAGAAGUCGUAACA